RNAcentral lists this ribosomal RNA (446 nucleotides) under uncultured bacterium. Its description in RNAcentral is "partial 16S ribosomal RNA". It matches the Rfam family "Bacterial small subunit ribosomal RNA", at positions 354 to 796 of the family's 1533-position model. The record is from RNAcentral.
GUGAGGAAUAUUGCGCAAUGGACGAAAGUCUGACGCAGCCAUGCCGCGUGAAGGAUUGACGGCCCUAUGGGUUGUAAACUUCUUUUGUAUAGGAAUAAACCCUCGUUCGUGAACGAGGCUGACGGUACUAUAAGAAUAAGCACCGGCUAACUCCGUGCCAGCAGCCGCGGUAAUACGGAGGGUGCAAGCGUUAUCCGGAUUUAUUGGGUUUAAAGGGUCCGUAGGCGGAUCGUUAAGUCAGUGGUGAAAUCCUACCGCUCAACGGUAGAACUGCCAUUGAUACUGGCGAUCUUGAGUAUGUAUGAAGUUGGCGGAAUGUGGGGUGUAGCGGUGAAAUGCUUAGAUAUCACACAGAACACCGAUUGCGAAGGCAGCUGACUAAUACACAACUGACGCUGAGGGACGAAAGUGUGGGGAUCAAACAGGAUUAGAAACCCCUGUAGUCC